GACGAACGCUGGCGGCGUGCCUAAUACAUGCAAGUCGAACGCUGAAGCACGACCUUGCUUCUCUGGUUGAGUUGCGAACGGGUGAGUAACGCGUAGGUAACCUGCCUGUUAGCGGGGGAUAACUUUUGGAAACUAUAGCUAAUACCGCAUAAUAGUAGCUGUUGCAUGACAUUUGCUUAAAAGUUGCAAUUGCUUCAGUACCACAUGGGGCUGAGUUGUAUUAUCUUGUUGGUGGGGUAUCGGAUCACCAUGGCGACGAUACAUAGUGGACAUGUGAGGGGGAUUGGCCACACUGGGACGGAGACACGCCCCAGAGGCCUACGGGAACCAGCAGUAGGGAAACGUCAGCAAGCGAUGGAAGACUGACCAAAAAACGCCGCAGGAGUAAAGAACAAUGUCGCAUCGUAAAUCACUGUUUUAAGAGAAUAAACAGUUUUAGACUGUAAAGUUCACACUGUGACGGUAACUGAUCAAAAAGCAACGGCUAACUACGUG
RNAcentral lists this ribosomal RNA (495 nucleotides) under uncultured bacterium. RNAcentral's name for it is "partial 16S ribosomal RNA". It matches the Rfam family "Bacterial small subunit ribosomal RNA", at positions 28 to 507 of the family's 1533-position model. The record is from RNAcentral.